This is an RNA transcript of Hemibagrus wyckioides, 3115 nucleotides long. It is a transcript of the gene named wingless-type MMTV integration site family member 2, with no coding region annotated. The record is from RefSeq and is a predicted model, not a curated record. Lineage: Eukaryota; Metazoa; Chordata; Actinopteri; Siluriformes; Bagridae. The transcript has 5 exons.
GUGUGUGUGUGUGUGUGUGUGUGUGUGUAACCCGCCUGAACAGAUAAACCGCUUCCACUCAGCCAUCUCAUUCCUACCCUUCAGCUCCAGACAGCACACUACACUUCGCCCAGCCCUUCUCAGAGCAACCUCAGACCUAAUCUCGGACCAUCAGAGACCUGAACUCUCCACUUCUGCGUCUCUACACGGGACAUGUCUGAUCUCAGGAUGGUUUGCGGAUGAAGGAUAAUUAGCCAGCGCGUGGGUUAGUGGACCAGCUCCAGCGCCCUUUCUCAGACAUCACCUCCUCUUUAUCUUCUUCUGCUGAACGCGAGCGUGUGAACGAAUGAGCACACCUAUCCGGAGUUAGUAAUAUGAACUUUCUGCCAAGUGGAAUAUGUUUAUAUUUAUCUGUGGCAACCUGCUGGUUCACAUCAAGGGUCGAGUCUUCCUGGUGGUACAUGGGCACGCUGGGCUCGCAGGUGAUGUGCGACAACAUCCCGGGUCUGGUGAGUAAACAGCGGCAGAUGUGCAGGCAGCAUCCCGGGGUCAUGCAGGCGAUCAGCGGCGGAGUGAACGAGUGGAUCAGUGAGUGCCAGCACCAGUUCCGCCAUCACCGCUGGAACUGCAACACUGUGGCGAGAGAUCAUAGUGUGUUCGGCAAACUCCUGCACCGCAACAGUCGUGAGGCUGCCUUUGUGUAUGCCAUCUCCUCAGCAGGCAUGGUCCACACACUGACCAGAGCCUGCAGUCAGGGCGAGCUGGACUCUUGCUCCUGCGAUCCGGGAAAAAAAGGCUCAUCACAUGAUCCCAAAGGGCCCUUUGACUGGGGUGGCUGUAGUGACCACGUGGACCAUGCCAUCAAGUUCACUCAGGCGUUUGUUGAUGCCAAGGAGAAGAAGGAGAGGGAUGCACGAGCGCUCAUGAACCUGCACAACAAUCGCGCAGGAAGGAGGGCAGUGAAACGUUUCAUGACUCUGGAAUGUAAAUGCCAUGGUGUGAGUGGGUCCUGCAACAUUCGGACGUGCUGGCUGGCCAUGGGCGACUUCAGACAGACGGGCGACUACCUGCGCAAGAAGUACAACAGCGCCACCCAGGUGGUGAUGAACCGCUAUGGGACAGGCUUCACCAUUGCCCACAGGAAGUUCAGGAAGCCCACAAAGAAUGAUCUGGUAUACUUUGAGGACUCGCCUGACUACUGCAUAUGGGACCACGAAUCUGGUGAGCAUUGAUAGUUGAGCAUUGCAUACUGUACUAUACAUACUGUACAUAUCUCAUGCCAGUGCAUACCUAGUGCAGUUUGUUUUGUGGAUAAACUUCAAAAGAAUGCACAAGUACAACAGAAGAUGAGGAAAAACCUGAAUUUGCCAGCCAGUAUCAUACGCCCUUGUUAGUCCUGGCAUAUUCCUCCACCAGCUGUGCUACUCUACUAGCAAUCUGUAAAGCAUUAGUCUUGCCUCUGAACUCAGUGAGAAUGUAACCAGAGAAUGGAAGCCAUUUAGCUGCCUAUUACAUUCACAAGAGUCAAAGUUGUCACAAUAGAAACCAGAAUGCAGUUGGCUAGUGUCCCCGCAAGGCAAGAAACCAUCUCUGUCUUCCUUUUUUCUCGUGUGCUUGUGCUUGUAUGCGUGAGUGUGUUGAAGUGUACUGAAUAACACCAGGUGUGCCUGUGUGGAGUGCGGGAGGGGUAGAGGUGCCUGUCAGGCUGCAGAUGAUCCUGGGCUAUCAAGUAACACUGCGUUUAAGACACAUUACCACAGAUCUGUGGACAGCACAGGAGCUGAAACAUGAUCCCUGCUCUCCACCACUAUAAAUUACUGGCCUCACCAGAACACCUCUCUUCUGUCUGCCCCUGAAUGGGCAGAAAUAUUUAGAGUCGUAGGUCAUGUCUCAUAACUUCCCACAGGGUGCAUGAUGAUCUCUCUGAAAAAUCUUUUGGCCCGUGUUUUUUAAACUUCUUCUGAACUGUGAAUUAUGUUUUCCCGGAAGAAUAGAGGACCAUGUAUAAAUAAAAUGCAUGAUUAAAUGACAACAUGAUAUGCAGAAAAUUCUAUGUUAUUCCAGUACCCUUAGUCAUAUUCAUCCUUGACGUUUGUGUCCUGGUACAAAUGCUGGCAGGAUUGUUUUGAGACACUACAGCUGAAGUGGAAUGGCACAGUGUAUUCACAUUGAUCUCAGCGCGGUUCAGCAUGAGAAAGACUCUGAGAAGAGGUUUGUUCGAGGGCAAUCCCAAGAUGUAGCCCGCCAAAGCUCUUCAUCUUCGAAAGUGUGAAAUCAAUUCCAGCAACAGCACAUGCUAAAGUCAUCUCGUGGCACUCCUCACAUCUUAAUUCAGUAAGCAGAUGCACCUCAGGUGAUGAUGUAACCAAAAUCAUCCUGGCAUGCCAGCCAUUUGGACGGUGGAGUGGGGGAUGGGGGCUGCUGGGUCAUGCCCAAACACAUCUUUCAAUCGCGUGCAAGACACAGCAGUGACAAAUAAGGGUCAGGACUGCCAAUUAAAACCUUAAACAUAUCUAUUCACGAUCCAAGUUGCAAAUUCAAAGGCUAAAUUGGGGUUACAUAAGCCAGCUGACACGAAUCCUCUGUUGUGUUUGUAAAGGUUAGCAUCAAUGUGUUCAUAGUCCAUGAUUGUUUUCCCAGUGCUAUGUUGGGCCGUCAGUCUGAGGGCCCUCAUGCACAAAGCCCUGAGAAUUUUCCCAGGAUGCCACAUGAAAGCUAGGGUUGAUACAAGGUCUUUAACAAUUUCGAUAUCAGCGGUCGAUCAGUGCCGCACCAGUCUCCACGCCGGGAGGGGUUGUCUAGAUUAGGGCUGUUGAAAUGAGCACGCGAUGAAGACUUGCAGCUGCAGCUGAUAGGUCCUAUCAUCAGUCCCUCAUCUUAUGAAGGACCAAGCGGUCAUCUUCUUACCCAGCUCAGUCUGCUCUGCUGCUUCUUCAAGAGCGCCAGACGUCUGCCAGGCAGUGAAACCAGAUUGUUCAGCCCAGCGUUGCACAUCUCAAGGUCAGUGGGCACGGGGGGCCGCGUGUGCAACCGGACUUCACACGGAGCCGACAGCUGUGAGGUCAUGUGUUGUGGGCGGGGCUAUGACACUUCCCGCGUGAGUCGCACUACCAAGUGUGAGUGCAAGUUCCACUGG